AACAGCCGCGGUAAUUCCAGCUCCAAUAGCGUAUAUUAAAGUUGUUGCAGUUAAAAAGCUCGUAGUUGAAUUUCGGGGUCAGUAGGUUGGUCAUGCCACUGGUAUGUACUGGUCUCACUGAUUCCUCCUUCCUGAUGAACCGUAAUGCCAUUAAUUUGGUGUUGCGGGGAGACUGGACUGUUACUUUGAAAAAAUUAGAGUGUUUAAAGCAGGCUAACGCUUGAAUACAUUAACAUGGAAUAAUGAAAUAGGACGUUCGAUCCUAUUUUGUUGGUUUCUAGGAUUGACGUAAUGAUUAAUAGGGAUAGUUGGGGGCAUUAGUAUUCAAUUGUCAGAGGUGAAGUUCUUGGAUUUAUUGAAGACUAACUACUGCGAAAGCAUUUGCCAAGGAUGUUUUCAUUAAUCAAGAACGAAAGUUAGGGGAUCGAAGACGAUCAGAUACCGUCGUAGUCUUAACCAUAAACUAUGCCGACUAGGGAUCGGAUGAUGUUAAUUUUUUAAUGACUCAUUCGGCGCCUUA
RNAcentral lists this ribosomal RNA (520 nucleotides) under uncultured Glomus. RNAcentral describes it as "SSU rRNA". It matches the Rfam family "Eukaryotic small subunit ribosomal RNA", at positions 569 to 1090 of the family's 1831-position model. The record is from RNAcentral. Lineage: Eukaryota; Fungi; Glomeromycota; Glomeromycetes; Glomerales; Glomeraceae.